CCGCCACACUGGGACUGAGACACGGCCCAGACUCCUACGGGAGGCAGCAGUGGGGAAUAUUGGACAAUGGGCGCAAGCCUGAUCCAGCCAUGCCGCGUGUGUGAAGAAGGCCUUAUGGUUGUAAAGCACUUUAAGCGAGGAGGAGGCUACUGAAGUUAAUACCUUCAGAUAGUGGACGUUACUCGCAGAAUAAGCACCGGCUAACUCUGUGCCAGCAGCCGCGGUAAUACAGAGGGUGCAAGCGUUAAUCGGAUUUACUGGGCGUAAAGCGCGCGUAGGCGGCUAAUUAAGUCAAAUGUGAAAUCCCCGAGCUUAACUUGGGAAUUGCAUUCGAUACUGGUUAGCUAGAGUGUGGGAGAGGAUGGUAGAAUUCCAGGUGUAGCGGUGAAAUGCGUAGAGAUCUGGAGGAAUACCGAUGGCGAAGGCAGCCAUCUGGCCUAACACUGACGCUGAGGUGCGAAAGCAUGGGGAGCAAACAGGAUUAGAUACCCUGGUAGUCCAUGCCGUAAACGAUGUCUACUAGCCGUUGGGGCCUUUGAGGCUUUAGUGGCGCAGCUAACGCGAUAAGUAGACCGCCUGGGGAGUACGGUCGCAAGACUAAAACUCAA
RNAcentral lists this ribosomal RNA (608 nucleotides) under uncultured bacterium. Its description in RNAcentral is "bacterial SSU rRNA". It matches the Rfam family "Bacterial small subunit ribosomal RNA", at positions 305 to 904 of the family's 1533-position model. The record is from RNAcentral.